Molecule: long non-coding RNA, 347 nt
Filed under: Mustela putorius furo (domestic ferret)
Lineage: Eukaryota; Metazoa; Chordata; Mammalia; Carnivora; Mustelidae
Description: lncRNA (ENSMPUG00000027705.1)
Source: RNAcentral
AGAAAAAGCUAUAAAUUGCUUUUCAUUGCUGGGAAAAAUCAUGUAUCUGUUUGAGUAUACAGGCAUCUUCAGAGGGCUGUUUGUGAUUGUAGCAUUUUUUAGACUCAAUAGAGCCACAUAAUAAAGCAAACUUUCUCUAAGCAUUUGAGUGUCCUCUCUCUCUAGUUUUAAGUACACAGAUGAAGAUAAAGAUACACUGAAGAGGAAAACAUUUCUCCCAGAGAAGCAGAACAGAGCGUGAAGUGCUAAAGACCCAGAAAAAGGAUAAUGAUAAGAAUUUCAGGAUUAUUUAUUUAUUACUUGAGAGAGAGAGAAAGAGAGAAAGAGAAUGAGCAGGGAGGAGAGGG